CAUGAACAAAAUGUAAUACCUGCUAAAUGUUUAUAUUUAUGUCAAUUGUGUUCCUUUUAAUUGAUUUUAGCAGCAGGUCUAUAACUGCAUGCACUAGGAAACAAUCAGUCGUAUGGUGAGCUUACAUGAUCAGUUGUGUCUGAUGUUUGACAGGAAGUUCUGAACAGCAGAAGUGAGAUUGUGAAAAUCCAAUGCCAACAGAGAUCCGACAACUGUGACCAUCACAACUGCUGCUGUCAAUCCCAUGACUUUUGAAGACAAC
This 262-nucleotide long non-coding RNA is filed under the name Mytilus galloprovincialis (Mediterranean mussel). The record is from RNAcentral. Lineage: Eukaryota; Metazoa; Mollusca; Bivalvia; Mytilida; Mytilidae.